AAUUUAUGAAAAUUAAUAAAUUUUGGCAGUUAAUUAUAUUAUUAGAGGAGCUUGUUUUAUGAAAUAGAAUUUACUCUUUUUAUUUUAAUAUAUCUUUUGCAGUUUAUUCAUCUCUGUUAUUAAAUGAAAACUGAUUUUAAUAUUUUAUUAUUUCAGGUCAAGAUGUAGCAAUGAAAUAUUAUAAAUUAGCUACAAUUAUGGAAUAAAUAUUAUAUGAUUUGGAAUUGACUACUAUUAUUUGAAUUUAGUUGUAAUUUUCAUUAGAGUAUUAUUAUGAUUUAGUAUAAUUAGUGUACAUAUCGCCCGUCACUCA
RNAcentral lists this ribosomal RNA (313 nucleotides) under Discocyrtus longicornis. RNAcentral's name for it is "partial small subunit ribosomal RNA". Lineage: Eukaryota; Metazoa; Arthropoda; Arachnida; Opiliones; Gonyleptidae. The record is from RNAcentral.